Molecule: unclassified non-coding RNA, 4657 nt
Filed under: Hevea brasiliensis (rubber tree)
Lineage: Eukaryota; Viridiplantae; Streptophyta; Magnoliopsida; Malpighiales; Euphorbiaceae
Source: RNAcentral
CGCCUGCUCAAGUCCCAAUUCGUUACGUUAACUAGCACAAAAUAGAGUUUCUCUCAUGAUUUGUCCUCGUCUCCUAGAUGAUGAGAUCUGUGAGUCGUUUUGCCUUUUAACAAGGCCACUAUCAGAGUUCAUCAUCUCUUCCACAAAGCACAAAAAUCCUUCAACACGGGUAAAUUUCAAUACGUUUAGAGCUGAAACAAAGCUCAAAUUACCCAAUAAGAUGGGAUUAUCAGUUAGGCUCCAAAAAAUAUGGCAGAGAAGAAGCUGAAGUCAAUAUAUGUUCGAGGGAAAUUGCCCAAUCAAAAAGGUUUGUUACUGGCCAAAUUCCAACAGAUCUAUCAAUCCAAGUUCAAGAUAUCACUUUUACAGUCCACAAGGUAACUUAAAUUGGACGUUUCUGCCAAGUCUUUUUCUAGUGCUCUAAUUUCAGCAUCCAACUAGUCUUCAUUUACAUCGAGGCAUAGCUUCUUUCUCCAAAGAUGACAUGUGAGAAUUGCCUAGUAAACUGCUGAAACUACAAGGGUCUUUUGCUUGGCAACUCUUCGAGCUCACAUAAGAAGAUUCGCCAACUCUUAUAAUGAAAUUGUAGAGUACAACUACAGUAGCUUAAUUCAUGAAACAUAAGGUAGUGAACAAAGUCUAUUUUCCAUACAUCACAAAACAUGAAUAACAAUUGUAACAAAACACUCACAUUGAAAUUAUUUUCCAUAUCAAUGCAUAUUUUCUUAUUCAUCUCUUUACCUCUAUCAAUCCAAGUAUACAUGUGACACAAAAGAAAUAGAAAAAUUGAUCCUAAAUAUACAAAUCUAUAUGUACCUUAAUCUAUAUUUAACUGUAUCUAAUUUACGGCCAUUCAAUAAAUAACAAAAAAAUAAACAUGUCUACAUUACUUAGACUCGGAAUACAGCCAUUUCAAGUGAUACUUCUAUAUAAUAAAUUCAUAUUGUUUGCUUAUCCAUCAUUUCUCCUGAAACAGUAUCCUUUGGUAUCAAAAUGUGGCUACAUAGGCCGUCUAGAACUUCAGCCUUCAAUUUCAAAUGAAUAUGAAAUUAAGCUUGAAAACUUCCCAGGUGGAUCAGAAAUAUUCGAAGUCAUUCUGAAGUUUUGUUAUGGUCUUCCAAUAGACUUAAACCCUAACAACAUAGUAGCACUAAGAUGUGCAUCAGAAUUCCUAGAGAUGAGUGAAGAACUUGAAGAUGGAAACCUCAUGUCAAAGACACAAGCUUUCCUCACAUUUGUCAUCCUUUCCUCAUGGAAAGAUACCAUUACUGUUCUUAAAUCUUGUGAAGCUUUAUCUCCAUGGGCAGAAAAUCUCCAAAUUAUUAGAAUAUGUUGCGACUCAGUAGCAUGGAAAGCUUCCAGAGAGAAUUCAUUAAUGGCAGACAUAGUUGAUGAAGGGGGAUCGUUGUUUGAUGAUGUAGCCACCCUUAGGAUUGAUCAUUUCAUGAGGAUUAUAACUGCAAUAAGAGCAAAAGAAGCAAGACCAGAGAUCAUAGGAAAGUGUAUAAUGUGCUAUGCAGCAAGAUGGUUGCCAGGCAUGAACAUAGAAUCAGAAGUACUAAGAAGUUAUGGGUAUGGAAAAACUGAGUUGCAGUACAGCAUCUUGAGUGGAAGGAACGAAGAUGAGGGUCUUGGACACAACAAUGAGAAAAAGACCAUUAUUGAAAGCCUGGUAAGCCUACUUCCUCCUCAACGAGAAGCUGUCCCAUGUAAGUUCUUGUUGAAGAUGUUAAAGAUGGCCAUUGUGUAUUCAGCAUCACCAUCUUUGAUUGUGGAGCUAGAGAAGAGAGUGGGGCUGACAUUGGAGAACACCAGCGUGAAUGAUCUUUUGAUUCCUAAUUACAAAAAUGAAGAUCAAGGGAAAAUGAUUGAGUGAGAACUCUAUCUUCUCUUUCUCUUUAAGAUCGUUUGACUAAGCAUGAAAAUUAGAACAUGAAAAUAGUAAAACAAGCUUCUUGUGAUAAAUCUUUUUACACUUGCUUAUUUUCAUUAGCCUAUACAACAGACAACCAGGACAACACACGAUGCACAACAUAGAUGUGGUACAACGAAUUGUGGAAUACUUUUUGAUGCAUGAACAAGAGCAGCAGCAGCAACAACUGCAACCAAUGUCAGCGAAAUCAAAUGUUAGUAAGCUCAUGGACAACUACCUAGCUGAGGUUUCAAGGGACCCAAAUCUUUCAAUUACCAAAUUUCAAGUUUUGGCAGAAGCACUACCAGAAAAUGCCCGAACAUGUGAUGAUGGUCUAUAUAGAGCCAUUGAUAUCUAUCUUAAGACUCAUCCUUCACUCUCUGAGUGCGACCGGAAAAAGCUAUGCAAAGUUAUGAACUGUGAGAAAUUAUCACUCGAAGCAAGCAUGCAUGCAGCACAAAAUGACAGGUUGCCUCUAAGAACUGUGAUUCAGGUGUUGUUCUCAAAGCAAGUAAAGAUGAGGGCAGCAAUGAGAGGGAAAGAGCCAGUAGCAAAUGGCAAUCACUCAGAACAUGAGGUAAGCCACAAAACAACAAAAACAGAGAUCAUGACCCUGAAAGAAGAACUUGAGAAUGUGAAUGCACAGAUGGCCAAACUGCAAACAGACUACUCUAAGCUGCAAUAUGAAUAUGCAAAGCUAAACAACAAGCAUAGAAAUUUCUUGGGCUGGAGUCUCAGCUGGAAAAAGAUCAGGAAAUCAGCUUUUUUCAAUAGAAAAAUAGAUGGGCCUGAAUCCAGUGAAGCACAGCAGAUAUCUAAUCCACUGGCCUCCAAAGUCAACUUUAGAAGACAAACUAUGUCAUAGAUUUAUAAUAAUAAAUAAAAAAGAUAAAUCAAAGUCUCAAUUGUGAUCAAGUCCAUUUAAUUCCAUAUUUACACUGUUUUCUUAAGGUGAGAAAUUAAGAAAGUAUAUAAAUCCUUAGUUCACAUGUAGAUAGGACAAUUUGCAGCACCCUGCUUAUUAAAGUUCUGAUGAAAUUCUCAUAGUUUCCAAAAGCUAGAGAAAACGGAAAAUGAUAUAAAAGUUUUUCCAAUCUUAAUUAUUUUCUUAUGGAAUCAAAGCACUCCUAAUGUUAAUGGCACUUUUGCUAAAGAUGUGCAUCAAGCGAGACAUGCACUAGGCGCAGGGGACAACACCAGCUCCCAUAAAAGGUAAUGUUAAUGGCAGUGUUGUUAAAGGCUCAGGGGAAAGCACCUUUGGAGGCAGGCAAGCUGGAAGUCGAAGAAGAAGAAGAAGAACCCUCUCUUCUCCUCGUGCUUUCCCUCUCUCCAUCUCUAUCUCCCUCUCCUCCCACCCAUUUGGGUUUUCUUUUUCAAAGUAAAAAGUAUGCCGCUCCCAUCUCUGUCUCUCUCUCCCCCCAACCACAUGGGUUUUCUGUUUUUCUGUUUCUUUGUAAAAACACCAUUGCUGCCUGCUGCUAUCUUAGUAGAGGGAAGACAGCUGUAACGUGGGUUUUUCUUUUGAAUUUGCAGCUACAGCCUUCUUCACCUCACAUUCAAUUUUCAUCUGUUGUUGAACCUGUGGCUGUGGGCAAUCUCUUUACUAAUAUAAAACAUCUCAUCCCUUCAUUCUGAGCUUCACUUUUAUUCUUUUGCCCUUCUUAAGUCUAAAAUAUAAGAAAAAGCAUAACAGAUCUAGAGAAUGACAGAUUAGCAGCAAAAAUAAAUGAUAAGAAGAAACCUAACAUCUUGUGAAACAAAGCUUAACGAUCCCAUUCCCAAGUCACUUAAUCAGAGGAACUAGUGAGCGAGCAGUACCCACAAUUUCUUCUCUAUCUACUUAAGUCAGCAACAGGUUCAUACCUAAACUUAAAACUAGUGCAUGAAGAUUAAAGCAAAAAUACACACAAAAUUUCUAUUAAAAAAAGAAAAGAAAAUAAAAAGAGAGCAACUUCUGAAGAAAAAUUCUUCACUCAAGGUUCAACAAGCUUAACAAAAACAUCAAAACAAACUAAAAUUUCUCUGCGUCAUAAUUAAAAAAAAAAAAUGAAAAGGAAAACGCUACCUAGGACUCCUCAUGCUGCUCCAUGGAAACUUGGCCUUCUCCACCGUGGAGUCACGAACACCACCGGGACCUCGCCCAGUUGCCUUCUCAUACCCAAUCCUUUCUUCCUUCUUCCCGUCAAGCCAAUGCUUUUUCCCUUCGCCAUCUUCCAUAACACUAGACCUCCUCUGCUUGUUCUUUCUCUCCUUCUCCUCCUCAAUAACCCUCAAUGGAAACAGAUCCGGAGAUAUCGAAAGCGGGUUUCUCAAAGUCACAUAGGCCUUUUUGUAGUCAGGUUUGGCGAUUAGUAAUCCGCGUAUUUUCUUCUUCUUGCCUUCCAUGUUGAGAGUACGGACCUUGUCGACUUCAAACCCGUAAAGGGACUCGAGGACGCGCUUGAUUUCGAUCUUGGAAGCGGAAGGAACAGUUUUCAAGGCAAUUUCUUUGAUGUUGUUGAAGCUUGUAGGCAUUAGGAGCUUGAUCGGGAGGUUUGCGAAGUGAACUACUCUUCUUCCUAGUCUGCUCCCCAUCUGUUUGUGUUUUUGCUCCUUCAGCCGUUCAAAUGAAAAGGAGCGUUUAACCGGUGUUGCUUUUCACCGCACGUGCUUCCCCCAAAUGAGUAACGAGUCUUGAAGAUGGGCUUUGAGCUGGACUUAUGUUCACAAUAAUGGGCCGGAAUGGAUUCACUUGUUGCUAGUAAU